This 753-nucleotide ribosomal RNA is filed under the name Triticum aestivum (bread wheat). RNAcentral's name for it is "partial small subunit ribosomal RNA". The record is from RNAcentral. Lineage: Eukaryota; Viridiplantae; Streptophyta; Magnoliopsida; Poales; Poaceae.
AUGCAGUCUGACAGUAGUAACUUCAUUUGCUUAGAUGCUCACGGUAUUGCAGAGAAUGGCUCAUUUUUCAGCCCAAUUGUGACACAUAUCAUACCAGGCCAAAGUACUUUCCUUUUAGAUUUAUUAUUCCACAGGUCCAUAAUGCCCAUCAUCAGUAUCAUCCAAAGGGGUGACAUACUUUCUCGCAGGGGCGGAGGCAGAGGGUGGACAGGGUGCACACACACCACAUGGUUCUUUCUGGUUGGUUCGCAUCCCCGUCUCCCCGACACCCACCCACUCAGCCGUCCCAUCCCCGCUGCCUCGUUUUUUGUCGCUGGUCGCUGGUCGUCGCCCAGGAGGCAUCCCGCUCUCGCCUCCUUUCCGCCCGCGCCAACCGCGCCCCCUGUGAACUGUGGCGGCCCUGCCCUGCGCGGCUUCGCCGGUACCCCCGGCCGCCUGGCACACCUACAAAGACGAUGGCAGCCGCCAAAGAGACAUCCGAGACAUGAACGAGGGAAAAAUGAGAACGUCGGCCACUAUUGGCUCAAGCUCAGGAGGUGGUCGAAAGCCCGGCUCCACAUGGUCCUAGCACUACUGUCACACAUGGUCUUUGGGUCACUUCCACCAGUGCUCUGCGGGUUGUCGUUCCGUGAGAGCAAUGACGGGGAGAACAAGAUGAUGAAUGUCGCCGAUGCUUCGCUCGCCUGCAUCGCGCUGCUUGCGCUCGGGACGUGCAUGUCCACAGAAGAGCCAUGCCAUACUUCAAGACUCUAA